CCUACGGGGUGCAGCAGUGGGGAAUAUUGGACAAUGGGCGAAAGCCUGAUCCAGCCAUGCCGCGUGUGUGAAGAAGGCCUUCGGGUUGUAAAGCACUUUCAGUGGGGAAGAAAGCCUUGGGGCUAAUACCCUCGAGGAAGGACAUCACCCACAGAAGAAGCACCGGCUAACUCCGUGCCAGCAGCCGCGGUAAUACGGAGGGUGCGAGCGUUAAUCGGAAUUACUGGGCGUAAAGCGCGCGUAGGCGGUCUGAUAAGCCGGUUGUGAAAGCCCCGGGCUCAACCUGGGAACGGCAUCCGGAACUGUCAGGCUAGAGUGCAGGAGAGGAAGGUAGAAUUCCCGGUGUAGCGGUGAAAUGCGUAGAGAUCGGGAGGAAUACCAGUGGCGAAGGCGGCCUUCUGGACUGACACUGACGCUGAGGUGCGAGAGCGUGGGUAGCAAACAGGAUUAGAUACCCUGGUAGUC
Molecule: ribosomal RNA, 465 nt
Filed under: Vreelandella stevensii
Lineage: Bacteria; Pseudomonadati; Pseudomonadota; Gammaproteobacteria; Oceanospirillales; Halomonadaceae
Description: partial 16S ribosomal RNA
Rfam family: Bacterial small subunit ribosomal RNA
Source: RNAcentral